Molecule: transfer RNA, 73 nt
Filed under: Candidatus Moraniibacteriota bacterium
Lineage: Bacteria; Candidatus Moraniibacteriota
Also listed under: 1 other name
Description: tRNA-Thr
Rfam family: tRNA
About the family: Transfer RNA (tRNA) molecules are approximately 80 nucleotides in length. Their secondary structure includes four short double-helical elements and three loops (D, anti-codon, and T loops).
Source: RNAcentral
GCCAAGAUAGCUCAGUUGGUAGAGCAAUGCAUUCGUAACGCAUAGGUCCCGGGUUCGAAUCCCGGUCUUGGCU